GAUUAAGUUAUUAAGGGCGCACGGUGGAUGCCUUGGCACUAGAAGCCGAUGAAGGACGUUACUAACGACGAUAUGCUUUGGGGAGCUGUAAGUAAGCUUUGAUCCAGAGAUUUCCGAAUGGGGAAACCCAGCAUGAGUUAUGUCAUGUUAUCGAUAUGUGAAUACAUAGCAUAUCAGAAGGCACACCCGGAGAACUGAAACAUCUUAGUACCCGGAGGAAGAGAAAGAAAAUUCGAUUCCCUUAGUAGCGGCGAGCGAAACGGGAAGAGCCCAAACCAACAAGCUUGCUUGUUGGGGUUGUAGGACACUCUAUACGGAGUUACAAAGGACGACAUUAGACGAAUCAUCUGGAAAGAUGAAUCAAAGAAGGUAAUAAUCCUGUAGUCGAAAAUGUUGUCUCUCUUGAGUGGAUCCUGAGUACGACGGAGCACGUGAAAUUCCGUCGGAAUCUGGGAGGACCAUCUCCUAAGGCUAAAUACUCUCUAGUGACCGAUAGUGAACCAGUACCGUGAGGGAAAGGUGAAAAGCACCCCGGAAGGGGAGUGAAAUAGAACCUGAAACCGUGUGCUUACAAGUAGUCAGAGCCCGUUAAUGGGUGAUGGCGUGCCUUUUGUAGAAUGAACCGGCGAGUUACGAUUUGAUGCAAGGUUAAGCAGUAAAUGUGGAGCCGUAGCGAAAGCGAGUCUGAAUAGGGCGUUUAGUAUUUGGUCGUAGACCCGAAACCAGGUGAUCUACCCUUGGUCAGGUUGAAGUUCAGGUAACACUGAAUGGAGGACCGAACCGACUUACGUUGAAAAGUGAGCGGAUGAACUGAGGGUAGCGGAGAAAUUCCAAUCGAACCUGGAGAUAGCUGGUUCUCUCCGAAAUAGCUUUAGGGCUAGCCUCAAGUGAUGAUUAUUGGAGGUAGAGCACUGUUUGGACGAGGGGCCCCUCUCGGGUUACCGAAUUCAGACAAACUCCGAAUGCCAAUUAAUUUAACUUGGGAGUCAGAACAUGGGUGAUAAGGUCCGUGUUCGAAAGGGAAACAGCCCAGACCACCAGCUAAGGUCCCAAAAUAUAUGUUAAGUGGAAAAGGAUGUGGCGUUGCCCAGACAACUAGGAUGUUGGCUUAGAAGCAGCCAUCAUUUAAAGAGUGCGUAAUAGCUCACUAGUCGAGUGACACUGCGCCGAAAAUGUACCGGGGCUAAACAUAUUACCGAAGCUGUGGAUUGUCCUUUGGACAAUGGUAGGAGAGCGUUCUAAGGGCGUUGAAGCAUGAUCGUAAGGACAUGUGGAGCGCUUAGAAGUGAGAAUGCCGGUGUGAGUAGCGAAAGACGGGUGAGAAUCCCGUCCACCGAUUGACUAAGGUUUCCAGAGGAAGGCUCGUCCGCUCUGGGUUAGUCGGGUCCUAAGCUGAGGCCGACAGGCGUAGGCGAUGGAUAACAGGUUGAUAUUCCUGUACCACCUAUAAUCGUUUUAAUCGAUGGGGGGACGCAGUAGGAUAGGCGAAGCGUGCGAUUGGAUUGCACGUCUAAGCAGUAAGGCUGAGUAUUAGGCAAAUCCGGUACUCGUUAAGGCUGAGCUGUGAUGGGGAGAAGACAUUGAGUCUUCGAGUCGUUGAUUUCACACUGCCGAGAAAAGCCUCUAGAUAGAAAAUAGGUGCCCGUACCGCAAACCGACACAGGUAGUCAAGAUGAGAAUUCUAAGGUGAGCGAGCGAACUCUCGUUAAGGAACUCGGCAAAAUGACCCCGUAACUUCGGGAGAAGGGGUGCUCUUUAGGGUUAACGCCCAGAAGAGCCGCAGUGAAUAGGCCCAAGCGACUGUUUAUCAAAAACACAGGUCUCUGCUAAACCGUAAGGUGAUGUAUAGGGGCUGACGCCUGCCCGGUGCUGGAAGGUUAAGAGGAGUGGUUAGCUUCUGCGAAGCUACGAAUCGAAGCCCCAGUAAACGGCGGCCGUAACUAUAACGGUCCUAAGGUAGCGAAAUUCCUUGUCGGGUAAGUUCCGACCCGCACGAAAGGCGUAACGAUUUGGGCACUGUCUCAACGAGAGACUCGGUGAAAUCAUAGUACCUGUGAAGAUGCAGGUUACCCGCGACAGGACGGAAAGACCCCGUGGAGCUUUACUGUAGCCUGAUAUUGAAAUUCGGCACAGCUUGUACAGGAUAGGUAGGAGCCUUUGAAACGUGAGCGCUAGCUUACGUGGAGGCGCUGGUGGGAUACUACCCUAGCUGUGUUGGCUUUCUAACCCGCACCACUUAUCGUGGUGGGAGACAGUGUCAGGCGGGCAGUUUGACUGGGGCGGUCGCCUCCUAAAAGGUAACGGAGGCGCUCAAAGGUUCCCUCAGAAUGGUUGGAAAUCAUUCAUAGAGUGUAAAGGCAUAAGGGAGCUUGACUGCGAGACCUACAAGUCGAGCAGGGUCGAAAGACGGACUUAGUGAUCCGGUGGUUCCGCAUGGAAGGGCCAUCGCUCAACGGAUAAAAGCUACCCCGGGGAUAACAGGCUUAUCUCCCCCAAGAGUUCACAUCGACGGGGAGGUUUGGCACCUCGAUGUCGGCUCAUCGCAUCCUGGGGCUGUAGUCGGUCCCAAGGGUUGGGCUGUUCGCCCAUUAAAGCGGUACGCGAGCUGGGUUCAGAACGUCGUGAGACAGUUCGGUCCCUAUCCGUCGUGGGCGUAGGAAAUUUGAGAGGAGCUGUCCUUAGUACGAGAGGACCGGGAUGGACAUACCUCUGGUGUACCAGUUGUCGUGCCAACGGCAUAGCUGGGUAGCUAUGUGUGGACGGGAUAAGUGCUGAAAGCAUCUAAGCAUGAAGCCCCCCUCAAGAUGAGAUUUCCCAACUUCGGUUAUAAGAUCCCUCAAAGAUGAUGAGGUUAAUAGGUUCGAGGUGGAAGCAUGGUGACAUGUGGAG
RNAcentral lists this ribosomal RNA (2889 nucleotides) under Staphylococcus aureus. Its description in RNAcentral is "partial 23S ribosomal RNA". It matches the Rfam family "Bacterial large subunit ribosomal RNA". The record is from RNAcentral. Lineage: Bacteria; Bacillati; Bacillota; Bacilli; Caryophanales; Staphylococcaceae.